UACGUAGGCAGCGAGCGUUGUUCGGAGUUACUGGGCGUAAAGCGUGCGUAGGCGGUGGCCCAAGUCUGGUGUGAAAUCUCCCGGCUUAACCGGGAGGGUGCGCCGGAAACUGGGUUGCUUGAGUGCCGGAGAGGCAGGCGGAAUUCCUGGUGUAGCGGUGAAAUGCGUAGAUAUCCGGAGGAACACCGGUGGCGAAGGCGGCUUCCUGGACCGACACUGACGCUGAGGCGCGAAAGCUAGGGGAGCAAACGGG
This 253-nucleotide ribosomal RNA is filed under the name uncultured bacterium. Its description in RNAcentral is "partial 16S ribosomal RNA". It matches the Rfam family "Bacterial small subunit ribosomal RNA", at positions 524 to 776 of the family's 1533-position model. The record is from RNAcentral.